This 502-nucleotide ribosomal RNA is filed under the name uncultured Oxalobacteraceae bacterium. RNAcentral's name for it is "bacterial SSU rRNA". It matches the Rfam family "Bacterial small subunit ribosomal RNA", at positions 8 to 507 of the family's 1533-position model. The record is from RNAcentral. Lineage: Bacteria; Pseudomonadati; Pseudomonadota; Betaproteobacteria; Burkholderiales; Oxalobacteraceae.
AGAGUUUGAUCCUGGCUCAGAUUGAACGCUGGCGGCAUGCUUUACACAUGCAAGUCGAACGGCAGCGCGGGGCAACCUGGCGGCGAGUGGCGAACGGGUGAGUAAUACAUCGGAACGUACCCAGAAGUGGGGGAUAACGUAGCGAAAGUUACGCUAAUACCGCAUACGUUCUACGGAAGAAAGUGGGGGAUCUUCGGACCUCAUGCUUUUGGAGCGGCCGAUGUCUGAUUAGCUAGUUGGUGAGGUAAAGGCUCACCAAGGCGACGAUCAGUAGCUGGUCUGAGAGGACGACCAGCCACACUGGGACUGAGACACGGCCCAGACUCCUACGGGAGGCAGCAGUGGGGAAUUUUGGACAAUGGGCGCAAGCCUGAUCCAGCAAUGCCGCGUGAGUGAAGAAGGCCUUCGGGUUGUAAAGCUCUUUUGUCAGGGAAGAAACGGUCCGGGCUAAUAUCCUGGGCUAAUGACGGUACCUGAAGAAUAAGCACCGGCUAACUACGUG